UACAUAUACAAAUAUAUAUAUAUAUAUAUAUUUCUCAUAAAUAUAUAUGUACAAGUGAAAAAUACAUAUUUCAAUUGGUAAAAUAUUACAACUUUUGAGAUAAAGUUAUAAUUUUAAAAAAAUAUUUUAAAAAAAUAUUGCUAUUUAUUGCUUAAGAUGCCAUUGUUUUUUUCCAGUUUUUCAAAGCUUAAUAGGUUUAGGAUUCCAAGUUCUCCUCUGCGUCGUCAUUGCUACUUCUCUGCACAUACACUGUAAGUACUUCCCCCCAUUAUCUUGUUGCUGUGCUUUUUUACGUAUAUAAUUUUGGGGUUGGGGGGCGGGUUUGGAAGCUAUUGUAGUUUUUUUGUACUGUUUUGACACUCUGUAUGAGUAAUCUUGAUUUGCUCUUCCACUGCACAUACACUGUAAGUACUUUCCCCGAUUUUCUUGCUGUGCUUUUUAUGUAUAUAAUUUUGGGGUUGGGUGGUGGGUGUGGAAGCUAUCGUAGUUUUUUGGUACUGUUUUGACACCGUGUAUGAGUAAUCUUGAUUUGGUUUGCUCGGAUAAAUGCUACUUCCCCCCAUUAUCUUGCUGUGCUUUUUGGUACUGUUGAGUAAUCUUGAUUUGGUUUGCUCUGAUGAAUGCUACUUUCCCCCAUUAUCUCAGACUUCGGCUUCUUAGUGUGGUCAAGUGGUAAGUCCUUUCUUUUCUGUCUGAGAAUAUGUCUUCUCUUCCGAGGUGGCAUGAGACAAUCAGUGAGUUUCAGGUGGCUUUAGUCUUUGUGAUUGUUCCUGAUGUGGAUCGAGUCUCUGGUAGUUCUAGGUGGCUAGAGACCAGCGCUAACAGUCCUAUUUCGAAUUCUAAAGUACACGAACAUCUUUGACAUGAGGUACGUAGUCGCUAGAAGAGGACGCUUUCAAUCUUUUUUCAUGAAAUCCAGACAGCAGGGAUAGAGUCCAAGCGUACCUUUUUUGUGUAUAUAAUUUUGGGGUGCGGAGAAAUUUCAGCUAUUAGUUUUUUUUGUUCCUACACUAGGAAAGUUGUGUAUGAGUAAUCUUGAUUUGAUUUGCUAUGAUAAAUGCUACUUCCCCAUUAUCUUGUGCUUUUUUAUGUCUAUAAUUUUGGGGUGUGGAGAAAGCUGCGUGGAAGCUCAGAGUUUUAUUUUGUUUUGCCUAGUAUAUUGUAUAGUUUAUUUUAGUUUUUUUUUUGUAGUACUGUUUUGAAUCUGAUUAUUGAUUUGAUUUUGCUCUUUCCGGGUGAGAAAUGGUUGUGUUCCAGUUGUGCGUGAAUCAGAAUUUUUGUCAUCGAACGUUUUGGGGGGUUUUUCUUGUUUUUUGAAACCUGCAGUGUAUCUGUUGAUUCUAUUUGUUGAUCGAAUCUCUGGUAUUCACUCUUUGAAAGAACAAUAUGUGACUUUGGAUGAUUUCUCGUCUAGAACUAGAGAUAACAAAAGAAUUACUGUGAAAAGCACAUUGGCCUAUAAGAUAGUAGAUCCGUAUUCAGCCUCCUAUGCCGUUGCAAAUAUUCACUACACUCUGCAGAAGACUGUGCUUGACCUGUUAGCACGACAGGUAUCAAGGUUAUGUUUCAUGGAACUUAUUUCUGAAAGGCCCAUUAUAAGAGUCUUUGUUGAGGUAUUAAUUUUAUCUUGCAAAACACAGUAUUCUGCAAAGUGUGUUGAACAUUUUCAACGGAAUAGGAGGCUGAAUACAGAUCUACUAUCUUAUAGGCCAACGUGCUUUUCACAGUAAUUCUUUUGUUAUCGUCUAGUUCGAGACGAGAAAUCAUCCAAAGUCACGUAUUGUUCUUUCAAAGAGUGAAUACCAGAGAUUCGAUCAACAAAUGGAAUCAACAGAUACACUCCAGGUUUCAAAAAGCGAGAAAAAGUAUACAAAUCAUCCGAUUUGAAAUACGUGUGUUUUGGAAUCGAUUGCUGCUGUGAAGGAUUCUGCUGAGUCCGCCUCACUCUCAAAAAUCAGAUCAGGAAUGAGAAGUCUACUUUCAUUGGCUUAUAUCUUUUAUGAGCAUGUCUUGAGUGUUAAUGGAGGAGGUGGAGCUUUGACUCCAGGCAGUGAAAGUUUGUCUGGCACUGGAGGCUUGAGUGUUAAUGGAGGCGGCAGUGGGAAUGGAACUUUGUAACUAGUGGAAAUGGAGCUUUGACUCCAGGCAGUGGAACUUUGUCGGGCACGCACCAGGCAGUGGAACUUUGUCUGGCACUGGAGGCUUGGGUAUUAAUGGAGGAGGCAGUGGGAAUGGAACUUUGUCUGUAACUAGUGGAAAUGGAGCUUUGACUCCAGGCAGUGCAACUUUGUCUGGCACUGGAGGCUUGAGUCUGUAAUUAGUGGAGCUUUGACUUCAGGCAGUGGAACUUUGUCUGGCACUGGUGGCUUGAGUGUUAAUGGAGGAUGCAGUGGGAAUGGAACUUUGUCUGUAACUAGUGACUUUUGUUUGAGCUAAGCAAGUUGUUUAGUAGAUGCUCUCUUGGACGCAUUGCUGGAAGUAUUUGAAUUUACAUUUUUAGUCUUUUUAUUCGUCAUGUACGGAGAAACAUCAAUGAGUGUGAGACAUGUUAGUCAUUGUUUAGUAUGCCCAAGCUUGACCAUAGCUGUGGAUAUUUUGAGUCCCUCGGAACAGUGUUUUCUUUUGUUCAAUUGUUAUGCGGAUAUGUCCAAAUAACUAUCUUGCAGAUCUUACGCCUGA
Capsicum annuum is the source of this 2679-nucleotide long non-coding RNA. RefSeq lists it as uncharacterized. NCBI's taxonomy places the organism in Eukaryota, Viridiplantae, Streptophyta, Magnoliopsida, Solanales, Solanaceae. The record is from RefSeq and is a predicted model, not a curated record. The transcript has 2 exons.